This 765-nucleotide ribosomal RNA is filed under the name uncultured Gammaproteobacteria bacterium. Its description in RNAcentral is "bacterial SSU rRNA". It matches the Rfam family "Bacterial small subunit ribosomal RNA", at positions 78 to 846 of the family's 1533-position model. Lineage: Bacteria; Pseudomonadati; Pseudomonadota; Gammaproteobacteria. The record is from RNAcentral.
UGCACAUCGCUGACGAGUGGCGGACGGGUGAGUAAUGCUUGGGAACUUGCCUUUGCGAGGGGGAUAACAGUUGGAAACGACUGCUAAUACCGCAUAAUGUCUUCGGACCAAACGGGGCUUCGGCUCCGGCGCAAAGAGAGGCCCAAGUGAGAUUAGCUAGUUGGUAAGGUAACGGCUUACCAAGGCGACGAUCUCUAGCUGUUCUGAGAGGAAGAUCAGCCACACUGGGACUGAGACACGGCCCAGACUCCUACGGGAGGCAGCAGUGGGGAAUAUUGCACAAUGGGGGAAACCCUGAUGCAGCCAUGCCGCGUGUGUGAAGAAGGCCUUCGGGUUGUAAAGCACUUUCAGUUGUGAGGAAAAGUUAGUAGUUAAUACCUGCUAGCCGUGACGUCAACAACAGAAGAAGCACCGGCUAACUCCGUGCCAGCAGCCGCGGUAAUACGGAGGGUGCGAGCGUUAAUCGGAAUUACUGGGCGUAAAGCGCACGCAGGCGGUUUGUUAAGCUAGAUGUGAAAGCCCCGGGCUCAACCUGGGAUGGUCAUUUAGAACUGGCAGACUAGAGUCUUGGAGAGGGGAGUGGAAUUCCAGGUGUAGCGGUGAAAUGCGUAGAUAUCUGGAGGAACAUCAGUGGCGAAGGCGACUCCCUGGCCAAAGACUGACGCUCAUGUGCGAAAGUGUGGGUAGCGAACAGGAUUAGAUACCCUGGUAGUCCACACCGUAAACGCUGUCUACUAGCUGUGUGUGCCUUUAAGGCGUGCGUAG